GUUGUGAGGUUAAGCGACUAAGCGUACACGGUGGAUGCCCUGGCAGUCAGAGGCGAUGAAGGGCGUGCUAAUCUGCGAUAAGCGCCGGUAAGGUGAUAUGAACCGUUAUAACCGGCGAUACCCGAAUGGGGAAACCCAGUGUGACUCGUCACACUAUCAUUAACUGAAUCCAUAGGUUAAUGAGGCGAACCGGGGGAACUGAAACAUCUAAGUACCCCGAGGAAAAGAAAUCAACCGAGAUUCCCCCAGUAGCGGCGAGCGAACGGGGAGGAGCCCAGAGCCUGAAUCAGCAUGUGUGUUAGUGGAAGCGUCUGGAAAGGCGCGCGAUACAGGGUGACAGCCCCGUACACAAAAGCGCAUGUGCUGUGAGCUCGAUGAGUAGGGCGGGACACGUGGUAUCCUGUCUGAAUAUGGGGGGACCAUCCUCCAAGGCUAAAUACUCCUGACUGACCGAUAGUGAACCAGUACCGUGAGGGAAAGGCGAAAAGAACCCCGGCGAGGGGAGUGAAAAAGAACCUGAAACCGUGUACGUACAAGCAGUGGGAGCCCCACCACCAAAGCAUUUGCUGUACCGCGUUGACGGAGCGAAGCGACGUCAAACCGAUAAAACAGCAGUGUAAAGUGAGCCGCAGGGCGCUUUGCGCGACAGCGCAAAGGCAGGCGGUUUCGCGUAGCGAAAGCGAAUGCUUUGGGGUGGGGUGACUGCGUACCUUUUGUAUAAUGGGUCAGCGACUUAUAUUCUGUAGCAAGGUUAACCGAAUAGGGGAGCCGGAGGGAAACCGAGUCUUAAUUGGGCGUUAAGUUGCAGGGUAUAGACCCGAAACCCGGUGAUCUAGCCAUGGGCAGGUUGAAGGUUGGGUAACACUAACUGGAGGACCGAACCGACUAAUGUUGAAAAAUUAGCGGAUGACCUGUGGCUGGGGGUGAAAGGCCAAUCAAACCGGGAGAUAGCUGGUUCUCCCCGAAAGCUAUUUAGGUAGCGCCUCGUGAAUUCAUCUCCGGGGGUAGAGCACUGUUUCGGCUAGGGGGCCAUCCCGGCUUACCAACCCGAUGCAAACUGCGAAUACCGGAGAAUGUUAUCACGGGAGACACACGGCGGGUGCUAACGUCCGUCGUGAAGAGGGAAACAACCCAGACCGCCAGCUAAGGUCCCAAAGUCAUGGUUAAGUGGGAAACGAUGUGGGAAGGCCCAGACAGCCAGGAUGUUGGCUUAGAAGCAGCCAUCAUUUAAAGAAAGCGUAAUAGCUCACUGGUCGAGUCGGCCUGCGCGGAAGAUGUAACGGGGCUAAACCAUGCACCGAAGCUGCGGCAGCGACACUGUGUGUUGUUGGGUAGGGGAGCGUUCUGUAAGCCUGUGAAGGUGUGUCGUGAGGC
RNAcentral lists this ribosomal RNA (1374 nucleotides) under Salmonella enterica subsp. enterica serovar Enteritidis. RNAcentral's name for it is "partial 23S ribosomal RNA". It matches the Rfam family "Bacterial large subunit ribosomal RNA", at positions 1 to 1269 of the family's 2925-position model. The record is from RNAcentral. Lineage: Bacteria; Pseudomonadati; Pseudomonadota; Gammaproteobacteria; Enterobacterales; Enterobacteriaceae.